Molecule: ribosomal RNA, 761 nt
Filed under: uncultured Prevotella sp.
Lineage: Bacteria; Pseudomonadati; Bacteroidota; Bacteroidia; Bacteroidales; Prevotellaceae
Description: bacterial SSU rRNA
Rfam family: Bacterial small subunit ribosomal RNA
Source: RNAcentral
AUGAACGCUGGCUACAGGCUUAACACAUGCAAGUCGAGGGGAAACGACGGGGAAGCUUGCUUCCCCGGGGCGUCGACCGGCGCACGGGUGAGUAACGCGUAUCCAACCUGCCUCUGACUGAGGGAUAACCCGUCGAAAAGUCGGCCUAAUACCUCAUGGUAUCGUCUGCGGGCAUCCAACGACGAUUAAAGAUUUCAUCGGUCAGGGAUGGGGAUGCGUCUGAUUAGCUUGUUGGCGGGGUAACGGCCCACCAAGGCUACGAUCAGUAGGGGUUCUGAGAGGAAGGUCCCCCACAUUGGAACUGAGACACGGUCCAAACUCCUACGGGAGGCAGCAGUGAGGAAUAUUGGUCAAUGGGCGAGAGCCUGAACCAGCCAAGUAGCGUGCAGGAAGACGGCCCUAUGGGUUGUAAACUGCUUUUAUGCGGGGAUAAAGUGAGGGACGUGUCCCUCAUUGCAGGUACCGCAUGAAUAAGGACCGGCUAAUUCCGUGCCAGCAGCCGCGGUAAUACGGAAGGUCCUGGCGUUAUCCGGAUUUAUUGGGUUUAAAGGGAGCGUAGGCCGUGGAUUAAGCGUGUUGUGAAAUGCAGGUGCUCAACGUCUGCACUGCAGCGCGAACUGGUCCACUUGAGUGUGCGCAACGCAGGCGGAAUUCGUCGUGUAGCGGUGAAAUGCUUAGAUAUGACGAAGAACUCCGAUUGCGAAGGCAGCUUGCGGGAGCACAACUGACGCUGAAGCUCGAAAGUGCGGGUAUCGAACAGG